This is a long non-coding RNA of Aethalodelphis obliquidens (Pacific white-sided dolphin), 3845 nucleotides long. RefSeq lists it as uncharacterized. The record is from RefSeq and is a predicted model, not a curated record. The transcript is spliced from 3 exons. Lineage: Eukaryota; Metazoa; Chordata; Mammalia; Artiodactyla; Delphinidae.
GCGGGCGAAAAGGCGCAAUCCUCGGUCCCGUUUAGCCGUAGUUAGGGUUGCGAGACUGGAGAACCCGCUACGGCAGCGAAUUACCAUCUCCCAAGCGGGAAUGCCUAAUAGCAGGAGGAGCGGUCAGGCUUUGUUGACUACAACUCCCAGCAUGCUCCGCGUGGGGCGGGGCCUCCGCCGGAGCUGGUCCCCUGUGGUGCUGCGCGGUGCUUGCUGGGAGUUGUAGUACCGGCUGUGAGCGGGCGGGAAGGAGAAGGGUCGACUGAGGUGGGGCGCGCCAACACUCAUUUUGGUUCCCAGCGGGUGUCUCGUUUGCGCUAAAAAAGAAAAACAGCUUCUGGAGACUGACCCGAGGUUCACCUGAUUAGAAAUACAGAAGAUGUCUUGUGGAAAACAUGCGUGGAUCUGUCAGCGUGCUCCCUAAUUCUACCCAUCCCUCCGUCGGCAGAACUAAAUUCUAUGGCUCUCCAGUCCAAGCUCUCCUCCUUCCUGAAUUGUCUCCAGUAAUGCAAAAGCCGAAGAGGAAACACGCCUCCUUUAAGAAGCAGACGCGUAGUUGGGGAUCUGACGAGGCACACGUUAUCAAACUGGAAAUAAAAGUCAAAAUCUACAACGUUUGUUGCCGUAUCUGUUCUUCAGUUUUGACUGAUAGUGAUAAGCCCAAACCAAAACAGUGUCACGUUCACAUGUUGGCAACGAAUUCCAGCUGCAGCAUUUACGGUAGCCUGUAGUAAACUGAGUCGAAGGAGAAAAAUCCCAACAGCAAAGUUGCUGACCAAUCUUUAACGGAUUGCCAGGGUAAUAGGGGACAAGAACGUGAAAAAAAUGAAUGUGCCGUAAAUAAACCGUUACAGUGCUGCUCAAAUUCAAAUCCCUAGGAAGCACCACGAAACAAAGGACAAAUUGAUGCUGCUGCCAUGAAGGAGCAGCCCAGUGGGUCUAGAAAACAAAUGAGACAAAUGGAACCAUGGCCUAGGCGCGGGCACAAAGUCUACGUUCUCACAGCAGUCCAGCCAUCGGACCCCAGCUGGGAAUAGCUCUCCAGAACAGCCAACCUAGCAUUCGUACCAGACUGUGCCAAAGGAGAGCAAUGGAAGACCUCGGAGGAUGGGAGCUUGGAAUAAUUCGCCUAUUACUAUUUUAGAGCACAGCAUACCCUCAUUCAAUAGUGCACUAUUUAAGUGGUUUGUGCUUUGGUAUUAAUACCUUUCUAACAGUUCCAAGAACUUUACAAACAACACAGCUACUCAGGACAACCUUAUAACAGUUAACAAGUGUUACUUUUGUUGUUAAAUAUGGAAAUGAAAACACAGGCUUACAUCCAAGCAAGAGAGACAAAUGUGAAAUAGCUCCUUUGCAAGUAGGAUUCUGUUCUUGGAAUAAGUUCCACCAGUGAGUUACACUCCUGGGACAUUUAAAAGUGAGACGGAGGCCGGCUUUCUUCCCCUGUCUGUUUUCUGCCGAGGCAGCCUGGAAGCUUUCUGCAGCAGCGUUCCAGCACCCAGUCACUAACUUCCUGUAUCCAGAGGCGAGGGCUGCGGAGGAGGAGGCGUCAGGGAAGCCAGGAGCGGACCAAGAAGGAGGUCAGUGGUGUAGCAAUCUGCUCAGCGGUCCUGUAAGGUGAGGACGGGGAGCCAUCCACCCCACGGAGUAAAACGGGGACGCUGGGGCUACAACGGGAACGAAACACAGUCACUGCACACCGUGGGCUCUUUCUAAAACAUAUAGAUUGGUAGAGAGUGACAACCACCUGAAACAUGCAGGAGGUCGGGAAGCAUGAUAGGGAUGCAGUGCUCAUGGAAGUGUGGUAUGAUGCGGGUGCUUGUUGUAGCCUAUUUGUCAGACUUCCCUGAGAAAUAGAGAUUCCAAGAGCAGGCAGGUGGAAGCUUCACCAGAUAAAAUCAAGGCUGGAAGAAGAGUUAGAAAAAAACUUAGCCCGGGACUUUUUCUUUGUGUGACUAUGUAAAGCAGUUAAAACUAUAAGAGGAAUAAUCUUUGUUUAUGAAAAAUCAUUUGAAGAAUGUUUUCUCAAUUAAUCUGUUAUUCUGUAAAAGCAAUGUGUGAUUAUUGUAACAAGUGACACAACCCAAAGGCAUAUGAAUAAAAAGUUUCCUCCUAUACCUCCCAAUUUUCACUCCACUUGGAGUGACCAAUGCUAACUGCCUGGGUUGUGUACCACUCCUGAACUUUAUCCAUAGUUACGAAAACAUAGCUAUUUGGGUUUUGUGUUUCUUCAUAAGAAUUCUUGUAAAAUAUGUAAAACCAUAUGCAGUUGCUUUAUUCACCUGACAGUAUAUUAUGGAUAUCAGGUCAAUUGGCAAAGAUCUAACUCAGUUUUUUAAUAGCUGAAUCCAUAGAUUAGAUUACCCUACUAUGGUACCAUUUGUUCCCUUAUUGAUGAACGUGUAAAUGGAUCUAGACUUUUAUCACAACAAACAGCACUGCAAUAAACGUCCUUAUACACGCAUCCUUAUCAUAGGAUGCUUUUAUUUCUGCAGGGAGAUGCCCAGUGAUGGGACCACUAGAUCAAGGCUAUUUCCUAUUUCGAUAUAUAUUGCACACAUUUUAUCCAAAGGGUUGCAGCCGUUCCCACUUCCAUCGGGAACUUAUGAGAGUGUCCAUCUCCCGUAGCCUCACCAAGUGAGGCUCUUCACACCAGCAACUGCAGGAGGGGCGUGUAUAAGUAUCCUUGGAUUGUUUGGGUCAAUAGUUCUGGUCUCAAAAAUUGUACACUUUCCUAAAUCCAUCCUUGUUCAUUGAAUGUACCUUCUCCUCCUGCUUAUUCCAUUUUCUUUCUCUAGAUUACAAAGAUCAGAGCACCUGUAAAGCACCAGAUUCUUUGCAGUUAAUAAUGUGUUUUCUCCCACAAAUACAGUUAUUCCUAAAGGAAACCAACCAAGAAGAAAUCCAAGGAUGCCUAUGAGCAAUAAAUCCACAUCUGACCUUAUCUGACCCCUUCUAGUCUCUGAACCUAUCAAAACCUGGAGUAGACACUGGGUGGAGAGCACAGAUUUGCUCAUCAGCAGACUGGAAUCCAGGCUUCAUCACUUUUUGCCCUGUCAUGCAAUUAAACUCAUGACCUUAUCUAUAAAAUGGCAACAGUCCAACUGCUAUUUAAUAUUGCUCAUGAGUACAAAGUGUUCAGCAUGGUGCCUGGCAAAUAGUAAGCUUUUACUAAAUGAUUGUUGUAUGAUAGAUCCCACAAUUUGAUAUCCCCUUUGAAAUAUCAGCCAUACGUUUAUAUAAGUUGUUGGACAUUUAAAUCCACAACCAAAUGUUAUCUUCUUAAUGAGAUACUUCAUAAACAAAAGAGAGUUUUCUAGGGUUUUCUGAAAAUAAUGAGCCUUGGUUUCUUUGUAUUCAUUUAUUCCAACUGUUACUUGAUGUCUUGUUUGGGACAAAGUGCUCUAUCGCACAGGCUCGGGCAGACACAAAGGAAACCAAUACUUGAUUUCGGUACUGAAGAGGUUGAUGGUCUAAAUGGACUUAAGCAAGCAUCAUCCAAUGCGUGACGUGCGUUACGAGUAGGAGCUGAAAAUAAUGAACUCUGGGAGAGCUAGGAAGUGCUUCAAAUAUAUCUGACCACUUCAAGAUCAUGGCAUUUUUUUAUGGCCAGGUAAAUACACACACACACACACACACACACACACACACACACACACACACACUUACCUUUCUAAGAUUUUCUACUAGAACGUUUCAUUUAUUUUCCUAAAGCGUUUUUGUUUUUUCUUAAGAACAAAAAAGUUGGAAGCAUGGAUAAGCAAAAUAUGGUAUACACAUACAACAGAAUAUUACUCAGCUUUGAAAAGGAAAUUCUAACACAUGCUACAAUGCAAAUGAAU